Molecule: ribosomal RNA, 494 nt
Filed under: uncultured bacterium
Lineage: Bacteria
Description: partial 16S ribosomal RNA
Rfam family: Bacterial small subunit ribosomal RNA
Source: RNAcentral
GACGAACGCUGGCGGCGUGCUUAACACAUGCAAGUCGAACGGUGAAGCGCCUUCCUUUUUGGUGGGUGUGGAUGAGUGGCGAACGGGUGAGUAACACGUGAGUAACCUGCCCCCUUCUUCUGGAUAACCGCAUGAAAGUGUGGCUAAUACGGGAUAUUCUGGGUCUGUCGCAUGAUGGGUCUGGGAAAGAUAUUGUUUCGGUGGGGGAUGGGCUCGCGGCCUAUCAGCUUGUUGGUGGGGUGAUGGCCUACCAAGGCGGUGACGGGUAGCCGGCCUGAGAGGGUGGACGGUCACACUGGGAGUGAGACACGGCCCAGACUCCUACGGGAGGCAGCAGUGGGGAAUAUUGCACAAUGGGCGCAAGCAUGAUGCAGCGACGCCGCGUGCGGGAUGGAGGCCUUCGGGUUGUGAACCUCUUUCGCCAGUGAAGCAGGCCUGCCUCGUUUGUGGGUGGGUUGACGGUAGCUGGAUAAGAAGCGCCGGCUAACUACGUG